Molecule: non-coding RNA, 876 nt
Organism: Pimephales promelas (fathead minnow)
Lineage: Eukaryota; Metazoa; Chordata; Actinopteri; Cypriniformes; Leuciscidae
Source: RefSeq, a predicted model, not a curated record
UCUGCACCCCCGCGGGACCCGCGGGUCGCGACGCAAAACAGUGCGGCGCGGGAGAAAUUUUGAAAGGUCAAUGCGGGAGCGGGCGGGAUGAUGAGGUGCACUUGCGGGUGCGGUCGUGAGGGAUGAUGCGCUGCACUCCCGCAAAUUAAAUAUGAGUGUAAAAUAAAAUAUAUAAAUGAUUAAAGUAGCGUACAUAAUUUGUAGUUGUGAGGGAGAUUCUGAUUGGCAGCAAUAAAAACGUUUUAAGCAGCCUAAACUUGUGAAUAUUGUCGGGUAGGGCGGGGCAUAAUCUCACGCACAGUCGCACACUUGUUUAGAGACAAUUCCUUCCCGCUGCUCCGUGUUUGAAUUCGAAAGCUAGUUCAAGUUCAAAAUAGACAGCAUGGACGAGGAACAGAGCGCCUCUAGUGCUUCAGAUAGAGGCCUAAGCGCUUCAGAUGUAAGUUACGUUACUUCUCUAAAGUACUUGUGGUAGGCACACAGGCUAUUUUCAGUUUAACACCUGCACUGAGCGGCUCAAAGCCCAAAUAGUUUUUUAGUCGCAAUGUUUCAUGGCUAGCCUAUAAUGUGACAGGAGCAUUAUCGAAUUAUAUAUAUUAGAUAGAUAAUAAUAUUACCUAAUCGAAUAUAUAUAUUUUUUUUUUGUUACAUGUUAAGCCUAAUGAAAUUUCGGCCGAUUAAUGUCAUCUUUGUUGGCGUUCGUUACUGAUGCCUGUUUAAUGUUUUGUAUGGUUGAUUAUGCAGGCUUACCAAUAAAUAUGUUACCAAGUAUUGGUAAGGAAUUUUGUGAGCACGCAUUUUUUUUCCCCAGGGCCAAGACCUUUCGUCAGAAAGUGCGGGCGGGAGCGGGACAUUAUAUCACAGAUGCGGGCGGGA